CUCAGGGGCUACAUCCUCAUGAGGACCUCUGGACUCAAAGAUAUUACCUGGCGUCCCCAUAUCCCAGGCUCUCAAGGACCAGGGCCCACACAGACUUGGAUAUCUUUGUGUGCUUCUCGGGGCCCUCGGAAGGGCGUCAGUGUGGUUUCCGUGAGCCCAAGGACAGAGGUUCUUGCUCACAAGGAUUGGUGUUUGCUUUUACAUGGACAGCCCGGACCACCUGGAACCAAGUGCACAGAAGCCCCGCCAUCCCCGGGCCUCCCAGCCCCGUCCUGGGAGGCGAACUCGCUUUGCCUUCCCACCCUCCAGGCCGACUCACUGUGCGCUGCUCUCUGGGUCCCACCCACUGUCCCACCGACUUCGUUGGUCUAAAAAUAUGCUCUGGCGUCUUGUUGGAAAGCAGCAGGAAUGAUGGGCCCUGCUGAUAAGGUGAAGAAAGUGACCCGACGGGGCAAACUUACGGAUGGGACAUGCUUUGGCAAAAUACCAAAACAGCAGGACCUGAAGGCUGGCUCCCCAUGCGUCCUCGAGGCCUUGUGCCAGGAAGAGGACCCUCGGGCUUAGGGAAGUGAAAACCAGGCUCGGGUCCCUCACCCAGUCCCUUCUGCCCGCUUUGGGAGGGAGCCCAAGAAGUCAGCUAGGGAGGGACCUCCUGGCGG
RNAcentral lists this long non-coding RNA (659 nucleotides) under Rhinopithecus bieti (black snub-nosed monkey). Its description in RNAcentral is "lncRNA (ENSRBIG00000046706.1)". The record is from RNAcentral. Lineage: Eukaryota; Metazoa; Chordata; Mammalia; Primates; Cercopithecidae.